This 143-nucleotide microRNA precursor is filed under the name Gossypium hirsutum (cotton). RNAcentral describes it as "MIR7502 microRNA precursor family". It matches the Rfam family "MIR7502 microRNA precursor family". The record is from Rfam by way of RNAcentral. Lineage: Eukaryota; Viridiplantae; Streptophyta; Magnoliopsida; Malvales; Malvaceae.
UGUUAAAAUUUUUAUCUAUUCUACUAUUAAAAAUUAAUGUGAAUGAUGAAAUAGUCAGACAAUUACGCGUGACUUGACAUUAUUUCUUAUGUUGACAUACAAAGAUUAGUUUUUAAUAAUAAAAACGGAUGAAACUUUUAAUA